This 22-nucleotide small nuclear RNA is filed under the name Arabidopsis thaliana (thale cress). Its description in RNAcentral is "snRNA_06374". Lineage: Eukaryota; Viridiplantae; Streptophyta; Magnoliopsida; Brassicales; Brassicaceae. The record is from RNAcentral.
UUUUAAACAAGUAAAUUUUAAU